AUACUUACCUAACAGUGGAGAUACUAUGAUCACAAAGGUGGUUUUCCCAGGGCGAGGCUUAUCCAUUACACUCUGGAUGUGCUGACCCAUGCGAUUUCCCCAAAUGUAGGAAACUCAACUGCAUAAUUUGUGGUGGUGGGGACUGCAGUUAUGCUGUCCCCUG
Molecule: non-coding RNA, 163 nt
Organism: Callithrix jacchus (white-tufted-ear marmoset)
Lineage: Eukaryota; Metazoa; Chordata; Mammalia; Primates; Cebidae
Source: Rfam